AAUUUUUUAAUUUUAAUUAAAAUAAUUGGUUGUGGUCUAAGAGAUUUAAAAAUUC
RNAcentral lists this transfer RNA (55 nucleotides) under Cercopithifilaria johnstoni. The record is from RNAcentral. Lineage: Eukaryota; Metazoa; Nematoda; Chromadorea; Rhabditida; Onchocercidae.